Molecule: ribosomal RNA, 496 nt
Filed under: uncultured bacterium
Lineage: Bacteria
Description: partial 16S ribosomal RNA
Rfam family: Bacterial small subunit ribosomal RNA
Source: RNAcentral
GAUGAACGCUGGCGGCGUGCCUAAUACAUGCAAGUCGAGCGAACAGACGAGGAGCUUGCUCCUCUGACGUUAGCGGCGGACGGGUGAGUAACACGUGGAUAACCUACCUAUAAGACUGGGAUAACUUCGGGAAACCGGAGCUAAUACCGGAUAAUAUAUUGAACCGCAUGGUUCAAUAGUGAAAGACGGUUUUGCUGUCACUUAUAGAUGGAUCCGCGCCGCAUUAGCUAGUUGGUAAGGUAACGGCUUACCAAGGCAACGAUGCGUAGCCGACCUGAGAGGGGGAGCGCCCACAAGGAAUCUGGGACACGCGCCAAACCCGUAGGGGAGGCAGGUGGAGGGAAUCUUCGGCAAGGGGCAAAAGCCUAAAGGAGCAACGCCGCGGAGGAAAUGAAGGUCUCGGGUUCGUAAAACCUUGAUUAUGGGGAAGAACAAAUGUGUAUGAAACCAGGGCCGUCUUAGCGGGACUAAAUAAGAAAGCCACGGAUAACUACGG